UCCGAAUUGGUGUAGUGGUUAACAUUUGACGCUCUCAUGACUAAACUUGUGUUCUUUAGAUCAUAGUUAGAAUGGUGCCGUCAAGCCCGGGGUUCGAUUCCCCGAUUCGGAG
Molecule: non-coding RNA, 112 nt
Organism: Xylaria sp. FL1042
Lineage: Eukaryota; Fungi; Ascomycota; Sordariomycetes; Xylariales; Xylariaceae
Source: the annotation of a GenBank genome assembly